GUGCUCACUUUGGCAGCACAUAUAGUAAAAUUGGAAUGAUACCGAGAAGAUUAGCAUGGCCACUGCACAAGGAUGACACACACACACACACACACACACACACACACA
Lemur catta (Ring-tailed lemur) is the source of this 108-nucleotide small nuclear RNA. Lineage: Eukaryota; Metazoa; Chordata; Mammalia; Primates; Lemuridae. The record is from RefSeq and is a predicted model, not a curated record.